GGGAGACCAUCGCUCCAACCGUUGCCUCUGACCUAGAUUCCCUGCACUAAUUACAAGCCUAACAGGGAGCUAACAAACACCCAACUUAGCACAGCUGAGACCCUCGAGGUCAAUUAGUGCAUCCCGGCUCCACUCCGGAAUCGAGAGAUGGAGCCAAAAAGUCGAUUGGCCUCGGCCCAGCCCCACUGCAACCUAGAGACUGGGAGCGGGGAUGGGGAGAAGAAUGCAGAAAUUAGCGGGGCCGGCUUAAAAAUGGGGAUCCUGGAGACUUAACCAGUGUGGGGAGCAAUGUGUUCAGGAUGGGGAGCAACACAGAGUCCCCACUCUUCCUAACUGAUUAGAGGCAUAGAGGUUGAUGCAGCUGCAGAAGUGAUAAACACGAGGCAGGUUUCAUAGAGACUUCAUAUGAGCACCGGUAACAGAAAAGGAAGCAGAGCCGGAACUCUGUCCUCUGGGAUCUGUGUCCUCGCCUCUGGCGAAAUCCCUCCUCUUCUUGGCUUCCAGCUUUGGACAGUUGAGAUAUCAACACCAUGACAGCACAGUCCUUUCCUGCCAGGUGGCACAGUGAGGUGCUAGAAGAGCUCUCGUCCUGUCCUGGGUGUGUGGACAGUGUCCUACCCCAUUCUGAUGCUCGUGGCUCUGUGGGGGUCGGAGGGGAAGGAGAGGGCCGGUGGCAUGCUUUAAGUACAGGUGAGGGAAUGCCUUACAGCCGCCCCAGGAGUCAAAUCCUCAUCACCCUUCGCAUCCACCAGCUCUAGCUGCAGAGGGCAGUUCUGCCAGCACAGCCUCAUGCACUCCAGGCUUACACCGUAACCAGGAGGAUUCCCAUUAACGCCAUGUCUAGAUGUUGAUGUCUCCCAAGUGUAUUCCUCCAGCCCGAGCUCCCACCCCCAAGAUCAAGGCCCUUACAGCCAAGUACCCAUCUGACAUCUCUGCCUGCGAGGUCACUAAUGGGCAUCUUCAACUUACUGUGCGGCUUGAAUCUGAGUUUGUGUUGAUUGAUAAAUAGAACUUGCCACUGUGUAAGUUCCAGAGCUUAAGGAUCCUGUAGUUUCCACUCUGUCCUUAAAAUUCAGCUGCAUAUAAGAAGCCUGGGCUAGCAUCCUUGAUGUGAGACAAUGUAGUUUAGAACUGAAAACCACGUGGAUCCAUCCCAAAUCCAAGCAUCCAGCAAAACAUAGCCGAGGACGUCCUAACUGGCAGGACCAGAAAACCAGCUACCUGGUCACUCCCCAGAAUUUGGAGAAAUUAAAGAGCUCUCCCCUGCGGCCCCAUACCAGGGAUCAAACUCAGGACCUUGCGCUUGUCAGGCAGGUGAGGUGCCACUGAGCUACAUCUGCAACUGGAGGAAUUAAUAAAC
Heterocephalus glaber (naked mole-rat) is the source of this 1360-nucleotide long non-coding RNA. NCBI's taxonomy places the organism in Eukaryota, Metazoa, Chordata, Mammalia, Rodentia, Bathyergidae. The record is from Ensembl.